AGGACCUCUUAGAGAAAAUCUGGAAUACGUUGUAUAAUCAUUCAUGUAGCCCUAAGAGGUUUGGGGGGACCUCUCAGACAGCUUUGCGACAGUGCGUCGUGCAACACCUCCCAGAGCAAGUUGCUACGUGUUUUCCGCGCCGCGGAACAUGCUACCUCGUACGCUUUGGAAAAUAGAUCGCAAGAUUUCACGUGUUUGUGCAUUAUUCCUUCAAGGAACACGUGCCGUGAUAACCUUGUAUUGCCUUCCCCCCUUGAAGCUAUUGUUCUUGCAAUCACAGCAUUAUUGCACUGCACGUAAGUGGAAGCGUUUCGGCCAGUCGCCAGCGGUUGAAUCAGUCUGUUUUGAAACGCUGAAGUGUGAGGACGUGGGCCGCGGAUCUCAAGUAAUUUGCGUUUUGUCUUCGGGAUUGUAACGUUUUUGAGGCUUUUACUACUGUUCGCAGACACGCAUUAUGAGCGCCGAUAGGAAGAUUACCAACGCACGUAACGUUACCAACGGCGCUGGGUGCCAAACGUUGUAUUUCUUACAGAUGAAUCUCGUACGAAGUGACAGGUGGUGAGAACACAAGGUGGUGAAAACCCAAUCUCUCCAGUUAGUUGGUGGCUUACGCAAGCAAGGGAAACUAGACGGUGCAUCGCAGGUCCCGAAGUAUACGUAAAACAGAUGAACUUGAUCACCGAGAAGCAGAGUUCCUAAAGAAUAUUUUUCAUCGCCGCUGUACGGACAUUGCGAAUAUGUGUCCCAUGAGUUCACGCUUUGUGGAAUACGACAGUAUGUGUUGAUGAUGACUCGUACGCUUUCGUAGACAUGUAAGUGCUAAAUCUAGUUUCUGUUGGUGCAAUUUACCGUUUCGUGUAGUUUCUUGCGAGCGAUCCUUCAACAAAUAUUAGAUAUUCACAAUUCUGUAAGACAUUUGAAAUAACUGUUACAAUAGUCUGAUAGCAGUGUGCAUGCCUUGAGUGUAUCUGUACA
Long non-coding RNA from Ornithodoros turicata, 975 nucleotides. RefSeq lists it as uncharacterized. The record is from RefSeq and is a predicted model, not a curated record. The transcript has 3 exons. NCBI's taxonomy places the organism in Eukaryota, Metazoa, Arthropoda, Arachnida, Ixodida, Argasidae.